This 181-nucleotide microRNA precursor is filed under the name Paramuricea clavata. Lineage: Eukaryota; Metazoa; Cnidaria; Anthozoa; Malacalcyonacea; Plexauridae. The record is from RNAcentral.
UAUAAAACAAAUCAUGAAUGUUUUUAUUCGUGCAAUGGUAAGAAUAUUUUCAUUCGGUGAAAGAAGGAAUGUUCCAUUCAACUCGGCUGUCGCCUCGUUGAAUGGAAUUACAUUCCAUCUUUCACCUCAUGAAAAUAUUCUUACCAUUGCACGAAUAAAAACAUUCAUUAUUUGUAUAAUA